Molecule: ribosomal RNA, 481 nt
Filed under: uncultured bacterium
Lineage: Bacteria
Description: bacterial SSU rRNA
Rfam family: Bacterial small subunit ribosomal RNA
Source: RNAcentral
AGAGUUUGAUCAUGGCUCAGGACGAACGUUGGCGGCGUGCCUAAUGCAUGCAAGUCGCACGCGGUAGCUUUGGCUACUGAGUGGCGCACGGCUGAGUAAAGCGUGGGCAAUUUGUCCAACCGUGGGGGACAAAAGCUGGAAACAGCUGCUAAUCCCGCAUACGCUCGCAAGAGGAAAGCUGGCAACAGCGCGGUUGGGGAAGCCUGCGUCCCAUCAGGUAGUUGGUGUGGUAAUGGCGCACCAAGCCAAUGACGGGUCGCUGGUCGGAGAGGCUGACCAGCCAGACUGGGACUGAGACACGGCCCAGACUCCCACGGGAGGCAGCAGGAAGGAAUUUUCCCCAAUGGGCGCAAGCCUUAGAGAGCAACGCCGCGUGGAGGAUGACGGCCUUCGGCUUGUAAACUCCUUUUGCAUGGGACGAUACUGACGGUACCGUGCGUAUAAGCCCCGUCUAACUCUGUGCCAGCAGCCGCGGUAAUUC